CAGGGCUGAGACUGAAGGUGUAGAACGGACCACCUACUCUACGCAGGACAGUCAUAAAGGGCCAGACAUGUAAGCUGAAGCUGUUGGUAGAGCUUGGAGAAGAGCAACUCAAGGUUUUAAAACCUGUAUGCCCUUGAUCCUACUCCUCCCUCCACUAUUGCACCUCCUUGGAAAUCUGAGAGACAUUCAUGUCCCAGGAGUGACCAGCAUGAAGAGAGCUGAAACUCAGCCCCAUUGCACAGCUGGCUCCCAAGGAUCUAUCAUGGGAUAAGGCAGUGAAAAGUCCAUGUAUGAGUCUUUCUUCUGAUGCCAGGGCCAUUGAGGAGACAGUGCUGUACAUGGUGCAUCUAUAAGAAGCACCCAGCUAACUUCUCUACCCUGGAGGAUCAGGUGAAAGAAAAACAUCAGAUGGGAAGAAAAGUGGAGAGAAUGAUUGAGCCUGGAACCUCAGCAUGGCAUUAUCCACAUGGACUGUUUUAUCAGUAUGCCUUUUUGUAACCCCAGAUAAGGGAAAACUGUAGCCAGAAAAAGAUGAAAAUGGGGAAAUUCAACCAUUGCAGGCAUUUAUUCUUAUCUUUUGUUUUUAUAAAGAAU
This 594-nucleotide long non-coding RNA is filed under the name Rhinopithecus bieti (black snub-nosed monkey). Its description in RNAcentral is "lncRNA (ENSRBIG00000046648.1)". Lineage: Eukaryota; Metazoa; Chordata; Mammalia; Primates; Cercopithecidae. The record is from RNAcentral.